This is a non-coding RNA of Desmophyllum pertusum, 73 nucleotides long. The record is from the annotation of a GenBank genome assembly. NCBI's taxonomy places the organism in Eukaryota, Metazoa, Cnidaria, Anthozoa, Scleractinia, Caryophylliidae.
GACGCGGUGGCCUAAUAGUUAGUGCGUUGGAUUCCGGUUAGAGCGAUCCGGGUUCGAGCCCUGGCUGGGGUCA